This 218-nucleotide long non-coding RNA is filed under the name Lathyrus oleraceus (garden pea). RNAcentral describes it as "Pisum sativum (pea) long non-coding RNA (PSAT_LNC030723)". The record is from RNAcentral. Lineage: Eukaryota; Viridiplantae; Streptophyta; Magnoliopsida; Fabales; Fabaceae.
CUGUUAAAGACAGAAGCAGAGACAGAUUCAGUUGGUGUUUUUUUCUUCUAAAAAUAUUGUUGUUAUUGUUUUCUGGGUGAAGGAUUAAUAAAAUAAGUUCCAGUUUAAUAUAAAUAUGAUGAUGAAAGAAGAUUGAGAUAGAGUAGAAAAGAAAAAGAUAAUAAGAAGCAAGAAGUGGAAUAAUUGUGGAUAUUAAGAAAGAUUGUUAGUUGUGGCGU